Molecule: long non-coding RNA, 7209 nt
Filed under: Homo sapiens (human)
Lineage: Eukaryota; Metazoa; Chordata; Mammalia; Primates; Hominidae
Description: non-protein coding lnc-FRMD7-4:4
Source: RNAcentral
GUCGCGGGAGCCAAGGCUCCAGGCAGCGAAGAGGUUUGGCUGGGGUUGCUGGAGUCUGAGAAGCUGGAGACUCUCCCGGCACGCGGAGAGGAGAACCCGGGGACCCGGAGACCUGGGACAUGGCUGGGCCUGGGAAGAGAAUGGAAGAGUUUGGGAAACCCUGAGGGUAUGAGGGCGCCCCAGAUGCGGCCACGUUGCAGGGAGGCGUGCGAGGCUGGGGCACACGCAGCCUCGGAGACGACUUGAGCUGAAACUUGGGGAGUGUUGGAAGUCUUUCUUGGCUCCCCGGCCUGGCCAAGGGUAGGAUUACAGAUAGCCGCGGAGUCGGUGGACCCCCGCUUUUUCCCGCCAUCUGGUCUCCUCAGCUGGGGGUCGCGCCUCUGGGCAGAUCUGUGGCCACACUCUUGCUUUCCGAGUUCCCUGACCCCAAACAUGCUUCAGAUGAAGAAAAAGGCUCAACCAGGUUAAAUAAUUUGACCGAAAUGUCACGCAAUUAAGAAGUGGUACAGCUGGGAAUUCAGACGCAGGUCCCUCUGACUGGUGAUAAACUUACUACUUUCUCUAUGGUUUCUGUUUGUGUUUAAUGAUGAUAAAAGGUACAAUUGCAUUUUCCUUACUCCUAGUUCCCCAAGUCCAGCCCUUCACUAUUUCUAACCUAAUGUUAGGCUCCAAUCUAGUCUCGAUUUCCCACCAACCCAGCUCACAACAUUGCCAGCCUGACCGGAAACCUGCAGUGCCACCUAAACUUUUAAUGUCCAUAGAAAUCCGAGGGUUCUUUUGCUCCCUCAAAAGCGCAGAUUUUUAUCUCCCAUGUCUGGACUGGGCCCAAGAUUCUGCAAUGCUAACAAGCUCUCACAUGGUGAUGAUGUUUAGAUCACACUUUUAAGUCGCAAGGGUCUGAAUCAAGCUCCAUCAUUUAAGACCUGUCUCAAAUCUCACCUCCAUUGACCCUUCCUAGUUGCUCCAAGCCCUCCUUCAAACUCCUCCAAUGUGAGCAGCGCUCACACUGUAGUUCUUUCUUCUUAUUUCAUAUAUUUCAUUUGUUUUGUGUGCCCAUAUUAGGUCCUUGAGGGCAGAGAUCCAGCCUCUCUUACAUGAGAAUGAUUCAGGUAGGAUGGCAGGAGUCUGAGGGCAAGCUUUUUAUACAUUUUGUCCAUUGCUGUAUCCCCAGAGACUAGGUUCAUGGCAUGUAGUAGGCCCUCAAUAAAUAAUUGUUGAAUGAAUGAAUGAACUUCUUUUGAAUUCUCCACUGAGGUUACUAGGUGCAUAAUGUAUACACUAUAUAUUUUAUUGAUGUCAGGUUAAACCCCUAGGCAUUGCCCUUACUGAACAUUUAAAUUGUUCAGUUUAUUGUGUGUUACAUCUUUCAUUAUUUAGUCUCCAAAAUUCUUUCCUGCUAGUUUAAUUUCACAACUACUUAUGAGCCAGUUGUAUAAUUUUGAUAGAUAAGUAAAUUAAGCAUAUCAGAGAAAUGACUUUCUCUGACAUCAUUCUGGGCCAGAGUUAUGUAACUAUGUGGAAGAAUAAAAGCUUAAUGCUGAGACCUGGAAUAUUGAGACAUUUCCUGAAAGACAUUGCAUUUGAGAUCUUAGUGAGCUUUUUAGCCUUUAUUUAGGUUUACUGCUAUUAAAUAAAGCAUCAGUUGUUGUUAUAAUUGAUAGAGAUCACUUGAGUUUUUACAUGGGAUUGCUUGUGGGCUUUUAAAUGAUUUUUCCUGUGUGUGUGUGUGUGUGUGUCUGUGUCUGUGUGUGUGUGUGUAUCUAUAAAUUAAAUCUUGUGAAGGUGUCAACAUUUGAAAACAAUUCAAAUUUUAUGAGCAUUAGAAACUUUUUUUCCACUUUGAACUGGAUUAUUUCUCAAAUUCUUAAAUAAAAUGACAAGAAAUUCAAGUACGCUUUUGUUACACACACACACAAAGGAAACUUAAAUAUUUUACUUCAAAUUGUCAGCCCAGGCCAGGCGUGGUGCCUCACCCCUGUUCCCAGCACUUUGGGAGGCCGAGGCGGGCAGGUUACCUGAGGUCAGGAGUUUGAGACCAGCCUGGCCAACAUGGCGAAACCCCAUCUCUACUAAAAAUACAAAAAUUAGCUGGACAUGGUGGUGUGUGCCUGUAAUCCCAGCUACUCUGGAAGCUGAGGCAGGAGAAUUGCUUGAACCUGGGAGGCAGAAGUUGCAGUGAGCUGAGAUCAUGCCACUGUACUCCGCCCUGGGCCACAGAGCGAGACUCCAUCUCCAAAAAAAAAAAAAAAAAAAAGUCAGCCCAGAGUCUGAAAAUAUAUUACAGUGUAUUCCCGUAGUUUAAUGGAAAACGUUUCUUGAGGAGAGACACAACUUAUGCUUUUUGGUCACACGUAGAGUGUAACAUAGCACCUCAGAAAGGAUUUGGUACCUGCUUGAUUGAUGUGAUCUGAAUGGCUGUGAAUACUUAAUAACCAUAUAAAUAAAAUAAGAUUAUACACAGAUUAGGUAAGGUUUUGAGUAACAUUAUACACAGAUUAGGUAAGGUUAGUGAAUUUCAAGUUAGACAGUGUUCUUGAGGCCUCAAAACUUAAUAAUUUACAUUUGGCACCUGGUUUCAAUUUCCUGACAUUUGUCAUACCCUCUAUUCAGGUUGAGUAUCCCUUAUCCAAAAUGCUUAGGACAAGAAGUGCUUCAGAUUUUGGAUGUUUUUGGAGUUUGGAAUAAUUGCAUAUACGUAAUAUCUUGGGUAUGGGACACAAGUCUGAACAUUAAAUUCGUUUAUGCUUCAGAUACACCUUAUAUACAUAGCCUGAUGAUAGUUUUAUACAAUAUUUUUAAUUUGUACAUGAAACAAAGUUGGUAUACAUUGAACCAUCAGAAAGCAAAGGUGUCAGGUAUGGAAUUUUCUACUUGUGAUAUCAUGUCAGCACUCAAAAAGUUUCCAAUUUUGGAGCAUUUUAGAUUUCAGAUUUUCAGAUUAGGGAUGCUCAACCUGUAUUAAAUAUUUAACUUUACCCAUGUUUACAAAUAUUUACUGAAUUGACUGGUUCUUAGCUAAAGUGUAGGUAGAUGGAAAUAGCCAAACUUUAAUACAGGCGGCAGUGAAAUAAGGGCAUGUUUUUCAACUAGGACCAAUUAUGCCUUCUGGAGAACAUUUCUGGGUAUCACAAAUAGGCAGGUAGGUGCUACUGGCAUCUAGAGAGUGGAGGCCAGGGAUGCUGUUAAACAUCUUACGACGCACAGGGCAGUCCCCACAAGAAAGAACUAUUCAGUCCACAAUGUCAAUAAUGAUAAGGUUUGAGAAACCAUGCUCCGCACUUUUUGCAUUAGGAGCUACUAACCAAGAAACAGACUUGAAAAUCAUUGUUCUCUGAAGAUUUUAGCUCAGUGUUGUGGCUGGGACCAAAUAAAGAAAAGACUCAUAAGAUAUUGAGCCACAUCAAGUGGGUAAUAGAAACAAAGCAGUAUUCUUAUUUUACCUCUGUAAUGAACCAUAGAUCAUCUGCCCCCUAAAAGUGAAUACAACUUAAUGAAAAAUAGUGUUGAACAGAAAAUAACUUUAAGUAAAAAAAUAAUGAUUUUUUAAAAAAAUUAAUUACUGAGCAUGUUCUAAUAUACCAGGCAUUACCUAGCCUUCAAAUAUGUUAACUCAUCAUGAUAAAUUUGACCUCUUAUUCUACUUUACAAAAUUUAAAGGUAGGAUUUCACAUUUUGGACUUACACAUUUUGAGCCUAGUGACUAUGAUGAAAUGGAUAAAAUGUAUAUAUGUAUGAAAUAUAAUGGCAAAUUGAUAUACUUACCUGAGUAUUUGAAACUAAAGAAAAUUAUCUGGGUAAUUCUAGAAGCUCACCAUCCAGUGAUGGGAAUAUUUUGAUUCAGGCUGCGGAGUCUACUGAUAUUUGGAAGUACAACAUUCAAGGGCCAUUUUUUAUUUUAAUAAAAGCAUAGAUGAUACCUCAAAUUUACUGUUUACUCUCAUUGGACAUCAAGUUGGAAACCAUGUUAUGAUAGUUCUUGCAGAUGUCAUAUGUAUCGUUGCUAUUGUUCCAGCAUAGCAUCCCAAGAAGAAACCUAUUGAAUCAGACCUUGGUCAAGGAACAUUAAACCUUAAACAUUAAAACUGUGUGACUUCCGAAUUCUCCUGAAUAACCUUCCACCUUUUGUGGCUUGCACAAUAUAUUAUCAUAGUAUUAUAUAUAAUGGAAACUAUACUAUCCAAGACAUCCCUGCUGAAUAUUCUCUCUAGCUUUACUUCCUGAUGCUGCUGAGGGGAAUAAAACAACGGAGGAGGUAGGUGGAAGCAGAUGCCAUUUAAGCAGUUUCCUGCUUAUAACAUUUCUUUACAUAUAUGCUUACUUGCUUUGAAAUGUUUGCAUUUAGGUACCAAAAGCAUCAAGCUCAUAACUUCUGGCCUUUACCAAUUGGUUACAGACCUAAGAGAGGUAAGAUGGCCUGGACAUUCAUUUGCAUGCAGCGGCAGGAGUCAAAAGAUGGAGGAGCUCCCUUCCUGAUUCCAGUUUUGCUCCUCUGCCUAAACUCUCACUUACAGAAUCAGACUGUUGACCUUUAGAUGCCUUGGACCUAAGGUGAAGGCCCUCAGAAACAUUCAUGGGCUCACUCACAGUCUCUUCAAUGCUGAAAGAACCACUGUACCAGCCAUCCUAUAAUGGUAGUUUAUUUUGCCAUAUGGGUACCUGAGGAGACUGGGGAGUUUCUUGGGAGAGAUUCUUUGGAAGCCUGGGACCUUUGUAAUGAGGUGCUCUCCAAGGUGCAGUUUUUAGUCACAGGAGAGCCUUUCAUGUGUCAUGAUGCUAAACAACCCAUUUGAGUGAUAUUUUCCCCUCUGAGUUGACAUUUUAAAAUGUAUUGAAUUGACCACUUGUUCUUUCAUUUGUAGGCUUCUCAAGAAAAUAGUUCUAGUCAAAGGUGGCAGUUAAAAACAGGAAAAAACUGGCAGUUGAGACCAAAUAGGAAGUGACUUUGCCAUCAGCUCACACCAAGGAAAAGGAAGUUGCUAGGACCUCUAAGAAAGGCAGUUGUGUAAAAUUACCACCCUUCAACUUGCUUAGCUGAGGCUCUGUCACCCUGUGGUAAAAACUUCCAUGGUUUUGUUACUGCAGUAGUUGAGAGAACGUGAACAGAGUGAGGGAAUAACAGGCACCCCUUGCAGGAAUGUUAUCAGGGACUGCCAGAAGUUUCUAAUGGGGGCAGAAACUCAACAUUGUAAACAAGCAAAGCUCCCAUCCUCUUUUUUUAUCCUGGGCCACAUCAAUAUUUUAAGAUUAGUUAACAUUCAGUAUGUUAUAUCAUGAGGCUCACCACAAGGGUCCAAAUGUAAACUAUAAUGGGGUUUUUUGCUGAAAAAUAGAAGAUAGAAUGUUUUUUAUACUUUCACUUUGGCCCCAGGUCCAGCCUAGGCCACACCACCUUUCCUUAUUUCCCUUACUUUCUCUUCCCUUACUUUCUCCUCCCUUCUUCUUCUUUUUUUUUUUUUUUUUUUACUCACAUAUUUCUUGCACUGUGCUAAGUGCUCGGAAUAUAAAGAAAUGCAAGGAGUUUGCUUUCCCACAGGAGAAUGCAACAAAAAAAAGGAGGAGCAUUCACAGCAAUAAAUGAUGAUAAUAGCAGUCUAUUACUACAACAACAGGCACCAGAGAGCAAUUCAUUUUGCCUCUGUAUAUCCUGGAAGGCUUCACAGAGGAGGUGAUAUUGAGCUAAACCUUGAAAAAUGAGAAGGAGAUAGCCAAGUAGAGAAUUGAGGAUAGGGGAUGGAGAAAAGAAGCCAUUCUAGGCAGAAGGAACAGCAUAAACAAAUGCCUAAACAAGGCCUGUGUAUUUCCCCAUCACCUGGUGACCUGGUUAAAAUACAGUUAUUGCAAUUCAUUUAUCCAGUUCUGAAUUUGUCCAUCCAAGGUAGACAAAGGGCACUUGUAUUUUAUUUUUAAAAAACUCCCCAGGUGAUUAUGUUGUGUACUCUUGGUUAAGAACCUCUAGAACUAGCUGAUAGUUUGAUUUGAUUUUACAGGCAGAAACACAGAGUACAUGAGGUGUCCUAACAGUGAGGCUGGAAGGAUCCAUUAGGGACAGACUGCGAGACUUGUGUGGCAUUCUGAAGAGUUUAUACUUGAUCCCUUAGGCUCUCAGCAGUCUUUUGGGGUUUUUAAGGAAGAAAGGAAUUUGAUCCAGAUUUGUUUUUUCAAAAUAAAACUCUGCUUAGCACAUAAAGGAUAGAUAGAAUAUGGAGGAGAUUAGAAGCAGAGGGACCUAUUAAGAGACCAUUAGGAGGCCAUUGUAAAAGUACAGAAGAGGGACUGAACUAAAUUAAUGGCUGUGAGAAUGAAGAGGAAGGAAUAGAGUCCAGAAACAAAUUACGGUUAGACUCAACAGCAUCCAAUUGAUUGAAUGUGGACAACACCAGAGGGAGAGGUUUAAAACACCAGCGACAUCUAGCUUAGGGAACUGGAUAAAUGUUAAUGCCUGGAACUUCACCAGAGAAUGUAGAAGGGGAACCAGGAUUGGGGAAAUGAUAAGGAAUUCAGUUUGGGUACACCGAGUCUGCAGUGUCUGUACAGCCUCUAAGUGGGGAUAUCCAAAAGGCAGUUGAAAAUAGCGAGAGGUCAGAUUGCAAGUAUAGAUUUGAGAACUGCACAGAGAAAUCCUUUGUAACCUCGUGUCAAGGUGUCAAUAAAGGACAUAAAAAAUAGAAACCAAGUUGGAACUGUUCACUUCCCAUUUAGAAAACCACUUCUUAAAUAAUUGUCCUAUGUUUUGGGCCAGUCAAAUGUGUCCUAUGUUUACUGGCAUCACAUCUAUCUGCAGAAAGCCUACCGUUUCCUUCAAAGUAAUGAUUGUUAACCUCCUGUCUGUGAGAUCGUAUUACUAAGUAUUUCUGCUGUGUUCCUGCAUACAUAGAUUUCCCUUUGAAUGAACGAUAAUGACAGUAAAGAAAAGAAUGGAGUAAAGAACAGAAAUGAUGUGAAGAAAUCUGAAUACUACAUUGCCAGCUUUUCUGGCAACAUGACAUCUACCUUUUGAAAGAUACUACAAUUUCAUGGGGAAAAACAUGGGUUUCAGAGCCAGACAGACCUUAUUAGCUGUGUAACCUUGGUGUUUGAGGCUCAUUUUCUUCAUGUGCAAAAUGGGAAUUAUUAUUACCUACUCCAAAUGGUGACGGUAAGGAUUAAAUGAGUUAAUGAAUAUAAACCACUCUAAUAUGAUGUCUGGUACAAACUUGACACUUCACAAAU